UAGGGAAUCUUCCGCAAUGGGCGAAAGCUUGACGGAGCAACGCCGCGUGAGUGAUGAAGGUCUUCGGAUCGUAAAACUCUGUUAUUAGGGAAGAACAAAUGUGUAAGUAACUAUGCACGUCUUGACGGUACCUAAUCAGAAAGCCACGGCUAACUACGUGCCAGCAGCCGCGGUAAUACGUAGGUGGCAAGCGUUAUCCGGAAUUAUUGGGCGUAAAGCGCGCGUAGGCGGUUUUUUAAGUCUGAUGUGAAAGCCCACGGCUCAACCGUGGAGGGUCAUUGGAAACUGGAAAACUUGAGUGCAGAAGAGGAAAGUGGAAUUCCAUGUGUAGCGGUGAAAUGCGCAGGGAUAUGGAGGAACACCAGUGGCGAAGGCGACUUUCUGGUCUGUAACUGACGCUGAUGUGCGAAAGCGUGGGGAUCAAACAGG
Molecule: ribosomal RNA, 429 nt
Filed under: Actinomycetes bacterium
Lineage: Bacteria; Bacillati; Actinomycetota; Actinomycetes
Description: Actinobacteria bacterium partial 16S ribosomal RNA
Rfam family: Bacterial small subunit ribosomal RNA
Source: RNAcentral